This 511-nucleotide ribosomal RNA is filed under the name uncultured bacterium. RNAcentral describes it as "bacterial SSU rRNA". It matches the Rfam family "Bacterial small subunit ribosomal RNA", at positions 340 to 844 of the family's 1533-position model. The record is from RNAcentral.
UACGGGAGGCAGCAGUGGGGAAUUUUGGACAAUGGGCGCAAGCCUGAUCCAGCAAUGCCGCGUGCAGGAAGAAGGCCUUCGGGUUGUAAACUGCUUUUGUCAGGGAAGAAAUCUUCUGGGCUAAUACCCCGGGAGGAUGACGGUACCUGAAGAAUAAGCACCGGCUAACUACGUGCCAGCAGCCGCGGUAAUACGUAGGGUGCGAGCGUUAAUCGGAAUUACUGGGCGUAAAGCGUGCGCAGGCGGCUUUGCAAGACAGAUGUGAAAUCCCCGGGCUCAACCUGGGAACUGCAUUUGUGACUGCAAGGCUAGAGUACGGCAGAGGGGGAUGGAAUUCCGCGUGUAGCAGUGAAAUGCGUAGAUAUGCGGAGGAACACCAAUGGCGAAGGCAAUCCCCUGGGCCUGUACUGACGCUCAUGCACGAAAGCGUGGGGAGCAAACAGGAUUAGAUACCCUGGUAGUCCACGCCCUAAACGAUGUCAACUGGUUGUUGGACGGCUUGCUGUUCAGU